UAGCUUAGUUGGUAAAUCAUCUGCCUGCAAUGCAGGAGACCCAGGUUCGAUUCCUGG
This 57-nucleotide transfer RNA is filed under the name Bos taurus (domestic cattle). It matches the Rfam family "tRNA", at positions 8 to 63 of the family's 71-position model. Rfam says of the family: Transfer RNA (tRNA) molecules are approximately 80 nucleotides in length. RNAcentral also lists the same sequence under 5 other names. Lineage: Eukaryota; Metazoa; Chordata; Mammalia; Artiodactyla; Bovidae. The record is from Rfam by way of RNAcentral.